Molecule: ribosomal RNA, 253 nt
Filed under: uncultured bacterium
Lineage: Bacteria
Description: partial 16S ribosomal RNA
Rfam family: Bacterial small subunit ribosomal RNA
Source: RNAcentral
UACGUAGGCAGCGAGCGUUGUUCGGAGUUACUGGGCGUAAAGCGUGCGUAGUCGGUUAUUUAAGUCGGGCGUGAAAGCCCCGGGCUCAACCUGGGAAUUGCGUUCGAUACUGGAUAGCUAGAGUUCGGCAGAGGGAAGCGGAAUUUCUGGUGUAGCGGUGAAAUGCGUAGAUAUCAGAAGGAACAUCAGUGGCGAAAGCGGCUUCCUGGACCAGAACUGACGAUCAGGCACGAAAGCGUGGGGAGCAAACAGG